Long non-coding RNA from Salvia miltiorrhiza (redroot sage), 722 nucleotides. RefSeq lists it as uncharacterized. The transcript has 3 exons. Lineage: Eukaryota; Viridiplantae; Streptophyta; Magnoliopsida; Lamiales; Lamiaceae. The record is from RefSeq and is a predicted model, not a curated record.
UACUGUAAAUGUAUUUUUAAUUAAAAGGGUAGAAAUGUAAAGAGUGAAAUUAAAAUUUACAUGCCCAUUUCGUGAAUUACAUUUCUCAAUUUCACUUUCACUUUCAUCUAGGGCUUGAGAAUCAAAAAAAUCGCAGGCAUCUGUGCAGUCGACGAAGGACCGAUCUGCACGCCGGCGACGAAGCAUCGGUCACAGGGUGUUCUCCGACGGCGGUUUCGUUGAUCUGUGCAAGGGCUGUGCAAGGAGGCGGCGGCGGAAGAAUUCCGAUUAAUCAAGGAGGCGGCGGCGUCCGAGUAUUCCAAGGAGGAGGCGGCAGAACCUUUGGGCUUUUCCAAAGUUAGCCGACAUAUCUGAAGGUGGUGGAAAAGAACAAGUUGAAGCACAGCCAGCUCGGAGAUGAAGGGGAAAGAAGCAAUAGUAUUAUAAUUCUGGCCAACAUAAGAACCAUUUUCUGAGACAUGGUUUAGUUUUGUUUUGUUUUGUUUUUUUUUUUUUUUUUUUUGAGGAAGGUUAUGUUUUGUUUUUAGUUUAAUUUCAGAUGCAAAUAAUUUUGGUUUAUUCCUAGUAUUGAAGGUAACAUUGCGUGAAAUGUCUUUGCUAACUUCAUUUGACUAUAGUACUUUUGUUGUGGCAAACUCUACCCCAUGCUUCACUCAUCUUCUUAAAAAAUACUACUAAUUGAAAACCAUUUCGUUGGUUUGUUGUUGUUGGAUUUGUUUUUU